This 61-nucleotide non-coding RNA is filed under the name Marmota monax (woodchuck). The record is from RNAcentral. Lineage: Eukaryota; Metazoa; Chordata; Mammalia; Rodentia; Sciuridae.
UAAGAAAUUUGGGGCUCAGAUCCUCUCCCAAGCUCAGGGUAACUUUUGAUGUUGAGGGGAA